GAUGAACGCUGGCGGCGUGCCUAAUACAUGCAAGUCGAGCGAACGGACGAGACGCUUGCUUCUCUGAUGUUAGCCGCGGAGGGGUGAGUAACACGUGGAUAACCUACCUAUCAGACUGGUAUAACUUCGGGAAACCGGAUCUUAUCCCGGAUGAUCUUCUGAACCGCAUGGUUCAAAAGUGAAAGACGGUCUUGCUGUCACUUAUGGCUGGAUCCGCGCUGCUUUAGCUGGUUGGUAAGGUAACGGCUUACCAAGGCAACGAUGCAUAGCCGACCUGAGAGGGUGAUCGGCCACACUGGAAGUGAGACACGGUCCAGACGCCUACGGGAGGCAGCAGUAGGGAAUCGUCCGCAGUGGGCGAAAGCCUGACGGAGCAACGCCGCGUGAGUGAUGAAGGUCUUCGGAUCGUAAAACUCUGUUAUUAGGGGAAAACAUAUGUGUAAGUAACUGUGCACAUCUUGACGGUACCUGAUCAGAAAGCCACGGCUAACUACGUG
RNAcentral lists this ribosomal RNA (497 nucleotides) under uncultured bacterium. Its description in RNAcentral is "partial 16S ribosomal RNA". It matches the Rfam family "Bacterial small subunit ribosomal RNA", at positions 28 to 507 of the family's 1533-position model. The record is from RNAcentral.